RNAcentral lists this ribosomal RNA (207 nucleotides) under uncultured bacterium. RNAcentral describes it as "partial 16S ribosomal RNA". It matches the Rfam family "Bacterial small subunit ribosomal RNA", at positions 568 to 774 of the family's 1533-position model. The record is from RNAcentral.
CGCGUAGGCGGUCGGAUAAGCGGGCGGUGAAAGCCCGGGGCUCAACCCCGGGUCGGCCGUGCGAACUGUUCGACUCGAGCACUGUAGAGGCGGGUGGAAUUCCGGGUGUAGCGGUGGAAUGCGUAGAGAUCCGGAAGAACACCGGUGGCGAAGGCGGCCCGCUGGGCAGUGGCUGACGCUGAGGCGCGACAGCGUGGGGAGCAAACA